This 206-nucleotide unclassified non-coding RNA is filed under the name plant metagenome. RNAcentral's name for it is "partial contains small subunit ribosomal RNA and internal transcribed spacer 1". The stretch from base 1 to 46 matches the Rfam family "Eukaryotic small subunit ribosomal RNA", at positions 1786 to 1831 of the family's 1831-position model. The record is from RNAcentral.
AAGUCGUAACAAGGUUUCCGUAGGUGAACCUGCGGAAGGAUCAUUACCUAAAUUUACGGGGGCCGUUGCUUCACAGCUUCCGCCCUGUCUGAAGCCCUUGUCUUUUGCGUACUUAUUGUCUCCUCGGCGGCCUAAACCCCGCCAGCAGGACACUAUACAACCCUUUGUAAUUGCAAUCAGCGUCAGAAAAAACAUAAUAAUUACAA